Hippocampus zosterae (dwarf seahorse) is the source of this 882-nucleotide long non-coding RNA. RefSeq lists it as uncharacterized. NCBI's taxonomy places the organism in Eukaryota, Metazoa, Chordata, Actinopteri, Syngnathiformes, Syngnathidae. The transcript has 2 exons. The record is from RefSeq and is a predicted model, not a curated record.
UUAUUUACUGAACUAUUCACCUGCUUUACAUGCGUGUCGCUUUAGACGAUCAGAAAGGUGUGCUACAUAUCAAAACAACGAGUUUACGUGAGGUUAUUUAUCUCUUUCAUAAAAAAAAUACAAAUUAAAUAUAAAACAUUAUCAUUCAAAUCGGCAGAACGCUUCUGACAACACGUGAACGCCCAGCACACGUCGGGGCGUCGCUGCGUGACGUCGUCUGGGGUAUAAAUAUGGGCUGGGCUUGCAAUUGGAAUCAUCUUGCCACUAUCUACCUUCAUUGCCUCUUGGACGCUCAAGGUUCUUUUCGGUCCAAACAAGAUGAAGCUGUGUGUUACCAUUGGUGUUUUCCUCAUGGUUCUUGCGCUUUCAGCCCAAGUGGUCGUUAACACUGCGACAACUUUGGCUGCAUCCACCAUGAGCCCAGCCCCAGCCAACACGACUGUCAUGAACGCAUGCUCCAGGAUCAACCCCUCCAAUUUGCUGGCCCUCUCCUUUGUCCCUCUGUUCUACAAUACAUGGUGCUGAUGCGUGCGCUAAGAGCCCCUUCACUGGACAUGAAGAGUUCAAUGGCCAUGCCACUUGGUUUGUCCAAAGAUGAGACGCCUGGAGUUUGAUGGUCUGAAUGUGCAGCAGAAGCUUUGUCAAGUCGUCAAAGUCUUUCAUGGACUGGACUAUCACCAGGAAGUAACGCACUGUGUGCUGUAUAAUAUUUGGCAAUGUCUUUGUCUGAAAUGUCCAGUGAGUGUGUCCCCUUUUUUUCUAUAUUUUUUUUUAAAUGUAAAGGGAUGCUAAUUAACCUUUGUACUUUUGAAAAUCUAACACAUUGAGUGCUUUUUAGGUCUUGAAAUAUUUUGUAAAUUCAAUAAACAUUCUACUUGGUGA